Molecule: ribosomal RNA, 253 nt
Filed under: uncultured prokaryote
Description: partial 16S ribosomal RNA
Rfam family: Bacterial small subunit ribosomal RNA
Source: RNAcentral
ACGUAGGGUGCAAGCGUUAAUCGGAAUUACUGGGCGUAAAGCGCGCGCAGGCGGUCCUUUAAGUCUGAUGUGAAAGCCCACGGCUCAACCGUGGAGGGUCAUUGGAAACUGGGGGACUUGAGUGCAGAAGAGGAGAGUGGAAUUCCACGUGUAGCGGUGAAAUGCGUAGAGAUGUGGAGGAACACCAGUGGCGAAGGCGACUCUCUGGUCUGUAACUGACGCUGAGGCGCGAAAGCGUGGGGAGCAAACAGGA